This 355-nucleotide ribosomal RNA is filed under the name uncultured bacterium. Its description in RNAcentral is "bacterial SSU rRNA". It matches the Rfam family "Bacterial small subunit ribosomal RNA", at positions 137 to 507 of the family's 1533-position model. The record is from RNAcentral.
AGGGGAAUAGCCUUCCGAAAAGGAAGAUUAAUACCGCAUAACAUUACAGUUUCGCAUGAAACGGUAAUUAAAGGAGUAAUCCGCUACAAGAUGGGCCCGCGGCGCAUUAGCUAGUUGGUGAGGUAACGGCUCACCAAGGCGACGAUGCGUAGCCGACCUGAGAGGGUGAUCGGCCACAUUGGGACUGAGACACGGCCCAGACUCCUACGGGAGGCAGCAGUGGGGAAUAUUGCACAAUGGGGGAAACCCUGAUGCAGCAACGCCGCGUGAGUGAUGAAGGUUUUCGGAUCGUAAAGCUCCGUCUUCGGGGACGAUAAUGACGGUACCCGAGGAGGAAGCCACGGCUAACUACGUG